CUAUGCUUACUCCAUCUUACUUCUCUUAGGUCUUACAAUGGAAGUGCCCUAUUACAUUUUGUUCUUUUCUAUGAUUUCCAAUUAUUUUAUGAAAUUUUUCAUUUAUUUUUUCUGUUCUUUCUAUCUUUAAUUUCUAUGUAACUUUUUGAAAUAGAUCUCAAAGAUUUUAUAUAUAUAUAUAUAUAUAUAUAUACACACACACACAGAGAGAGAGAUAUAUAUCUACUGUACUAUUGAAGUAGAUUCCUAAAGUUUUUAUCUCUUCUAGAAUAUUGGUUUCACAACACCCCUAUUAUGUGUAUUUAAUUUUACCCACCACAUGGCGUUUUCAAAAAGUCUUUAUUUGGCGGAAUACAACUUCAGAAUCUGAUUCGAAGAGAAAAUUGCUCACAGCCGUGAGCCACUGUGCCUGGCCGAUUUUUACUAUUUAAAGAAGGAAGAAUUUUAGCAGCGUGGGGUGGCUCAUGCCUGUAAUCCCAGCACUUUGGGAGGCUGAGGUGGGCGGAUCACUUGAGGCCAGUAGUUCAAGAACAGCCUGGCCAACAUGACGAAACCCCAUCUCUACUAAAAAUACAAAAAUUAGCCAGGCGUGGUGGCACGUGCCUGUAGUCCCAGCUACUCGAAGGCUUAGGCAGGAGAAUCGCUUGAAUCAGAGACAGGGAGGCUGCAAUGAGCCGAGAUUGCACCACUGCACUCCAGCCUGGGCGACAGUGCAAGACUCCAUCUCAAAAAUAAAGAGGAAUUGGAGGAGGAAAUAAAUGAAUAAAUGACAAAGGUGACAAAGGACCAAAGAUCUGUGACUUGUGCAAAGAUUGCUCUGUGGUAAUUAUUACAGAAACAAUGUUUGUAUCUUAUUUUUUAGGGAAUUUUGUAUAUUGUCUAAUCUGAUUUACUUUGUUUUUAAUAGUUUGCUGCAGGUCUAGAAGAUGUCACAGAAUUUCAAGGAAGAGAGGUAGAGGAGGGCUGGAAUGAGGUCCUCCACUU
This 984-nucleotide long non-coding RNA is filed under the name Homo sapiens (human). Its description in RNAcentral is "HSALNT0380136". The record is from RNAcentral. Lineage: Eukaryota; Metazoa; Chordata; Mammalia; Primates; Hominidae.